CCUGGAUCCAAUACCCUCCCAACUCGGGCUCCCAGAUCUUGAAGGUGGAGAAGGCAGCGCUGUUGCAAAUAUUUCAACGCUGCAACUAGCAUCUCUGUCCGAGGGGCUAGUGCAGAUAAGAAGGUGAAAAAAACGCACUCGCGAUGAAAUGUUCUCUGAGUUCAUGGAGUCCACCCAAACUGAAAGAGCCCAGAAGAAUGUGUGAAGGCAGA
Molecule: long non-coding RNA, 212 nt
Organism: Chelonia mydas (Green sea turtle)
Lineage: Eukaryota; Metazoa; Chordata; Testudines; Cheloniidae
Exons: 2
Source: RefSeq, a predicted model, not a curated record